RNAcentral lists this transfer RNA (70 nucleotides) under Lepidoblepharon ophthalmolepis. RNAcentral's name for it is "tRNA-Ile". It matches the Rfam family "tRNA". From Rfam's summary of the family: Transfer RNA (tRNA) molecules are approximately 80 nucleotides in length. Lineage: Eukaryota; Metazoa; Chordata; Actinopteri; Pleuronectiformes; Citharidae. The record is from RNAcentral.
GGAGCUGUGCCUGAAGUAAAGGACCACUUUGAUAGAGUGUCUCAUGAAGGUUAAAAUCCUUCCAGCCCCU